RNAcentral lists this ribosomal RNA (322 nucleotides) under uncultured bacterium. RNAcentral's name for it is "bacterial SSU rRNA". It matches the Rfam family "Bacterial small subunit ribosomal RNA", at positions 28 to 353 of the family's 1533-position model. The record is from RNAcentral.
GACGAACGCUGGCGGCGUGCUUAACACAUGCAAGUCGAGCGGUAAGGCCCUUUCGGGGGUACACGAGCGGCGAACGGGUGAGUAACACGUGGGUGACCUGCCCUCAGCUCUGGGAUAAGCCCGGGAAACUGGGUCUAAUACUGGAUAUGACUCCACGGUGCAUGCCGUGGGUGGAAAGCCUUGUGCGGCUGAGGAUGGGCCCGCGGCCUAUCAGCUUGUUGGUGGGGUGAGGCCUACCAAGGCGACGACGGGUAGCCGGCCUGAGAGGGCGACCGGCCACACUGGGACUGAGACACGGCCCAGACUCCUACGGGAGGCAGCA